AGUGAACGCUGGCGGUAGGCCUAACACAUGCAGGUCGAACGGCAGCACAGUAAGAGCUUGCUCUUACGGGUGGCGAGUGGCGGACGGGUGAGGAAUACAUCGGAAUCUACUUUUUCGUGGGGGAUAACGUAGGGAAACUUACGCUAAUACCGCAUACGACCUACGGGUGAAAGCAGGGGAUCUUCGGACCUUGCGCGAUUGAAUGAGCCGAUGUCGGAUUAGCUAGUUGGCGGGGUAAAGGCCCACCAAGGCGACGAUCCGUAGCUGGUCUGAGAGGAUGAUCAGCCACACUGGAACUGAGACACGGUCCAGACUCCUACGGGAGGCAGCAGUGGGGAAUAUUGGACAAUGGGCGCAAGCCUGAUCCAGCCAUACCGCGUGGGUGAAGAAGGCCUUCGGGUUGUAAAGCCCUUUUGUUGGGAAAGAAAAGCAGCAGGUUAAUACCCCGCUGUUCUGACGGGACCCAAAGAAUAAGCACCGGCUAACUUCGC
RNAcentral lists this ribosomal RNA (491 nucleotides) under uncultured bacterium. RNAcentral describes it as "partial 16S ribosomal RNA". It matches the Rfam family "Bacterial small subunit ribosomal RNA", at positions 29 to 506 of the family's 1533-position model. The record is from RNAcentral.